UGCCUACGGGAGGCAGCAGUGGGGGAUAUUGCGCAAUGGGGGAAACCCUGACGCAGCAACGCCGCGUGAAGGAUGAAGGUUUUCGGAUUGUAAACUUCUUUUAUUAAGGACGAAAAAAUGACGGUACUUAAUGAAUAAGCUCCGGCUAACUACGUGCCAGCAGCCGCGGUAAUACGGAGGAUGCAAGCGUUAUCCGGAUUUAUUGGGUUUAAAGGGUGCGUAGGCGGGACGGUAAGUCAGCGGUAAAAAUGCGGAGCUCAACUCCGUCGAGCCGUUGAAACUGUCGUUCUUGAGUGAGCGAGAAG
Molecule: ribosomal RNA, 305 nt
Filed under: uncultured bacterium
Lineage: Bacteria
Description: bacterial SSU rRNA
Rfam family: Bacterial small subunit ribosomal RNA
Source: RNAcentral